AUUUUUUUAGUAUAAAAAGUACAUCUGACUUCCAAUCAGAAAGUCUAUAAUUUAGAAAAAAUA
Molecule: transfer RNA, 63 nt
Filed under: Macrophthalmus abbreviatus
Lineage: Eukaryota; Metazoa; Arthropoda; Malacostraca; Decapoda; Macrophthalmidae
Description: tRNA-Gly
Source: RNAcentral